GAUGAACGCUGGCGGCGUGCCUAAUACAUGCAAGUCGAGCGAACAGAUAAGGAGCUUGCUCCUUUGACGUUAGCGGCGGACGGGUGAGUAACACGUGGGUAACCUACCUAUAAGACUGGAAUAACUCCGGGAAACCGGGGCUAAUGCCGGAUAACAUUUAGAACCGCAUGGUUCUAAAGUGAAAGAUGGUUUUGCUAUCACUUAUAGAUGGACCCGCGCCGUAUUAGCUAGUUGGUAAGGUAACGGCUUACCAAGGCAACGAUACGUAGCCGACCUGAGAGGGUGAUCGGCCACACUGGAACUGAGACACGGUCCAGACUCCUACGGGAGGCAGCAGUAGGGAAUCUUCCGCAAUGGGCGAAAGCCUGACGGAGCAACGCCGCGUGAGUGAUGAAGGUCUUCCGGAUCGUAAAACUCUGUUAUUAGGGAAGAACAAUUGUGUAAGUAACUAUGCACGUCUUGACGGUACCUAAUCACCGAGCCACGGCUAACUACGUGCCAGCAGCCGCGGUAAUACGUAGGUGGCAAGCGUUAUCCGGAAUUAUUGGGCGUAAAGCGCGCGUAGGCGGUUUCUUAAGUCUGAUGUGAAAGCCCACGGCUCAACCGUGGAGGGUCAUUGGAAACUGGGAAACUUGAGUGCAGAAGAGGAAAGUGGAAUUCCAUGUGUAGCGGUGAAAUGCGCAGAGAUAUGGAGGAACACCAGUGGCGAAAGCGACUUUCUGGUCUGUAACUGACGCUGAUGUGCGAAAGCGUGGGAAUCAAACAGGAUUAAAUACCGUGGUAGUCCACGCCGUAAACGAUGAGUGCUAAGUGUUAGGGGGGUUUCCGCCCCUUACUGCCGCAGCUUAAGGCAUAAAACACUCCGCCUGGAGAGUACGACCGCAAGGUGGACACUCAAAGAAAUAGACGGGGACCCGCCACAAGCGGUGGAGCAUGUGGUUUAAUUCGAAGCAACGCGAAGAACCUUACCAAAUCUUGACAUCCUUGGACAACUCUAGAGAUAGAGCCUUCCCCUUCGGGGGACAAAGUGACAGGUGGUGCAUGGUUGUCGUCAGCUCCUGUCGUGAGAUGUUGGGUUAAGUCCCGCAACGAGCGCAACCCUUAAACUUAGUUGCCAGCAUUUAGUUGGGCACUCUAAGUUGACUGCCGGUGACAAACCGGAGGAAGGAGGGGAUGACGUCAAAUCAUCAUGCCCCUUAUGAUUUGGGCUACACACGUGCUACAAUGGACAAUACAAAGGGCAGCUAAACCGCGAGGUCAUGCAAAUCCCAUAAAGUUGUUCUCAGUUCGGAUUGUAGUCUGCAACUCGACUACAUGAAGCUGGAAUCGCUAGUAAUCGUAGAUCAGCAUGCUACGGUGAAUACGUUCCCGGGUCU
This 1376-nucleotide ribosomal RNA is filed under the name uncultured bacterium. RNAcentral describes it as "bacterial SSU rRNA". It matches the Rfam family "Bacterial small subunit ribosomal RNA", at positions 28 to 1381 of the family's 1533-position model. The record is from RNAcentral.